CAGGAAGUCACGAGUUCAAAUCUAAUCUCAGACACUUACUAGCUCUGUGACCCUGGACAAACCACUUAACCUUAAUUUGUCUCAGUUUCCUUAACUAUAAAAUGGGGAUAAUAAUCAUAUCACCUACCUUACAGAGUUGUGAGGAGCAAGCAAGAUGAUAUUUGUAAAAUUCUUUACAUGGUACAUGGAAUAUAAUAAGUGCUAAAUAAAUGUUUACUGCCUCCCUGACCGCUCUCUGCUCUGCUGCGGGCUGGCACCAAAUAUGGCUUUAAAAAAUGCUUAUUGUUUGACUCAUUGGCUCAACCACUAACCAAGAAUCCUGACCUCACACUUUUUUUUACAUUAUCUCCCCAAUUAGAUUGUGGGCUCCUGGCGGAAAGGAAUUGUCUCCCUCUUUCUGUUCGUACCCUGAGCACUUUGGCCAGAUUUUUCACAUGCCCCAGUGAUUCAAGUUAUAAGGCUUGGGUGAACUAUACAGCAGCAUAUUUACUGAAAGAACUGAUGGAUGUGAUUGCUAAGCUGCAGUCAGUGAUCAUGGAAAUCUGAUGAACAGGUUAAGUACUGCAGAACUAAAGACAAAUGGAUUGUCCUGUUGGACUGUUAAACAAGGAAAAAUGAUGGAUGCUCCACAUUAGAGAUGAUGGA
This 645-nucleotide long non-coding RNA is filed under the name Monodelphis domestica (gray short-tailed opossum). Its description in RNAcentral is "lncRNA (ENSMODG00000044125.1)". The record is from RNAcentral. Lineage: Eukaryota; Metazoa; Chordata; Mammalia; Didelphimorphia; Didelphidae.